Molecule: ribosomal RNA, 253 nt
Filed under: uncultured bacterium
Lineage: Bacteria
Description: partial 16S ribosomal RNA
Rfam family: Bacterial small subunit ribosomal RNA
Source: RNAcentral
UACAGAGGGUGCAAGCGUUGUUCGGAAUUACUGGGCGUAAAGGGCUCGUAGGCGGCCAACUAAGUCCGACGUGAAAUCCCAAGGCUUAACCUUGGAACUGCGUCGGAUACUGGAUGGCUUGAAUUCGGGAGAGGGAUGCAGAAUUCCAGGUGUAGCGGUGAAAUGCGUAGAUAUCUGGAGGAAUACCGGUGGCGAAGGCGGCAUCCUGGACCGACAUUGACGCUGAGGAGCGAAAGCUAGGGGAGCAAACGGG